CGGGGAGUAGCGCAGCCUGGUAGCGCACUUCACUGGGGGUGAAGGGGUCGCAGGUUCGAAUCCUGUCUCUCCGACCA
This 77-nucleotide transfer RNA is filed under the name Kordiimonas sp. SCSIO 12610. RNAcentral describes it as "tRNA-Pro". It matches the Rfam family "tRNA". Rfam says of the family: Transfer RNA (tRNA) molecules are approximately 80 nucleotides in length. Their secondary structure includes four short double-helical elements and three loops (D, anti-codon, and T loops). Lineage: Bacteria; Pseudomonadati; Pseudomonadota; Alphaproteobacteria; Kordiimonadales; Kordiimonadaceae. The record is from RNAcentral.